CUUAGACCUCAAAUCAAAUAGGACUACCCGCUGAACUUAAGCAUAUCAAUAAGCGGAGGAAAAGAAACUAACAAGGAUUCCCCUAGUAAUGGCGAAUGAAGUGGGAAGAGCUCAACUUUGAAAUCUGGCAGCUUUGCUGUCCGAGUUGUAGUCUCGAGAAGUGUUUUCCGCUCUGGAAUGUGUAUGAGUCUGUUGGAACACAGCGUCAUAGAGGGUGAGAACCCCGUUCAAGACACACCUGCCAGUGCUCUGUGAUACACUUUCGAUGAGUCGAGUUGUUUGGGAAUGCAGCUCAAANNNNNNNNNNNNNNNNNNNNNNNNNNNNNNNNNNNNNNNNNNNNGAAACAAGUACCGUGAGGGAAAGAUGAAAAGCACUUUGGAAAGAGAGUUAAAAGUACGUGAAAUUGUUGAAAGGGAAACGCUUGAAGUCAGACGUGCGCGGUAUUCAUACCACUGCAGGCCAGCAUCGGUUUUGCGAGCCGGAUAAAGGUCAGAGGAAGGUGGCAGUUUCGGCUGUGUUAUAGCCUCUAACUGAAUACGGAAUGAAAGACCGAGGGACGCAGCGCGCCGCAAGGCAAAGGAUCCGUCCUUUUCGCGCUUAGGAUGCUGGUGAAAUGGCUUUAAACGACCCGUCUUGAAACACGGACCAAGGAGUCUACCAUGCUUGCGAGUGUUUGGGUGAUCAAACCCAUGCGCGUAAUGAAAGUGAACGGAGGUGGGAUCCUUUACCGGAGCACCAUCGACCGAUCCAGAUUUUUAAUGAAGGAUUUGAGUAAGAGCACGUAUGUUGGGACCCGAAAGAUGGUGAACUAUGCCUGAAUAGGGUGAAGCCAGAGGAAACUCUGGUGGAGGCUCGUAGCGGUUCUGACGUGCAAAUCGAUCGUCAAAUUUGGGUAUAGGGGCGAAAGACUAAUCGAACCAUCUAGUAGCUGGUUCCUGCCGAAGUUUCCCCUC
Molecule: ribosomal RNA, 954 nt
Filed under: Cyphobasidium usneicola
Lineage: Eukaryota; Fungi; Basidiomycota; Cystobasidiomycetes; Cyphobasidiales; Cyphobasidiaceae
Description: partial 28S large subunit ribosomal RNA
Rfam family: Eukaryotic large subunit ribosomal RNA
Source: RNAcentral